UACGAAGGUUGCAAGCGUUGUUCGGAAUCACUGGGCUUAAAGAGCAUGUAGGCGGUUCGACAAGUGCCUUGUGAAAUCCCCCGGCUCAACCGGGGAAUUGCUCGGUAGACUGUCGAACUUGAGGCAGGUAGGGGCGCGUGGAACUCUUGGUGGAGCGGUGGAAUGCGUAGAUAUCAAGAGGAACGCCGGUGGCGAAAGCGGCGCGCUGGGCCUGUCCUGACGCUGAGGCGCGAAAGCGUGGGUAGCAAACGGG
This 253-nucleotide ribosomal RNA is filed under the name uncultured bacterium. RNAcentral describes it as "partial 16S ribosomal RNA". It matches the Rfam family "Bacterial small subunit ribosomal RNA", at positions 524 to 776 of the family's 1533-position model. The record is from RNAcentral.